AGUAAUAUAUCGGAACGUGCCCAGUCGUGGGGGAGUAACGUAGCGAAAGUUACGCUAAUACCGCAUACGAUCUAAGGACGGAAAGACGGGGGACGUCGCAAGAGCCUCGCGCGAUUGGAGCGGCCGAUAUCAGAUUAGGUAGUUGGUGGGGUAAAGGCUCACCAAGCCAACGAUCUGUAGCUGGUCUGAGAGGACGACCAGCCACACUGGAACUGAGACACGGCCCAGACUCCUACGGGAGGCAGCAGUGGGGAAUUUUGGACAAUGGGCGCAAGCCUGAUCCAGCAAUGCCGCGUGCAGGAUGAAGGCCUUCGGGUUGUAAACUGCUUUUGUACGGAACGAAACGGUGAGCUCUAAUACAGUUUGCUAAUGACGGUACCGUAAGAAUAAGCACCGGCUAACUACGUG
RNAcentral lists this ribosomal RNA (408 nucleotides) under uncultured bacterium. Its description in RNAcentral is "bacterial SSU rRNA". It matches the Rfam family "Bacterial small subunit ribosomal RNA", at positions 109 to 507 of the family's 1533-position model. The record is from RNAcentral.